RNAcentral lists this unclassified non-coding RNA (755 nucleotides) under Hevea brasiliensis (rubber tree). Lineage: Eukaryota; Viridiplantae; Streptophyta; Magnoliopsida; Malpighiales; Euphorbiaceae. The record is from RNAcentral.
UGCAAAAGAGUUCGUUCAGAGUUUGAAUCAAAAUGCCUUUUGCGCAGAAGAGCAUCUCGUGCCCUGAGAGCCUGGACCCAUAACUCAUUGCCUUUAAAGUCCUUCAACUUAGACAAUGAUGAUCUUACCCCAUUUGAAGGAUCAUCAGGACAUUUUGCAAUUUGAGUUACCCAGUUCAGCAUUGUUGGUAGUGAUUCUCGUUUUCUCUUCCGUGAAUAAAAAAAGUUGUUCCCAAUUGCAGGAUCCAAUAUCACAACACCAUCAUCAUCAUUGUUAGAAUGAAUUUCCUUAUAAUCAGGGACAUUUCCAUCAUCAGUAUGCUUAUUUCCAACGCCAUUGCAUACUUUAAGUACAUCUUUGGUAUCCAAAAGACCUUUUUUACACUUCAAGACAUCCACAUGAAUGUUUUUGCCAUUUUUCUUAUGUUUAACAUUCUUCCCAUUUGGAUAUCCUUGGGACAACAAACUUCUAAACUCUGUCUCUAAUUCCAUUGAUAUACAGCUGAAAUUCCCAUCAGAGUGACACUGCCCAUUUCCCAAUCUCCCAUCUCUAAAGCUUCCCCUCAACCAUCUUUCCAACUCAUACAAGUACUUAAAAUAUACUAAUUUAACUGAAGUUGAAACUCCAAUAUCCAACCCUAGCUCUUUUACCACAAAGGUCCAGAAACCAUUUACCAAAUCAAAGCCUCCUCUCUUUCUCACCACCCGGAAAAGUUUACAUAAAUCCAGUGAUUGCCCAUCACCAAGCAAUGCUGG